RNAcentral lists this ribosomal RNA (497 nucleotides) under uncultured bacterium. Its description in RNAcentral is "partial 16S ribosomal RNA". It matches the Rfam family "Bacterial small subunit ribosomal RNA", at positions 28 to 507 of the family's 1533-position model. The record is from RNAcentral.
GACGAACGCUGGCGGCGUGCCUAAUACAUGCAAGUUGAGCGCUGAAGGUUGGUACUUGUCCCGACUGGAUGAGCAGCGAACGGGUGAGUAACGCGUGGGGAAUCUGCCUUUGAGCGGGGGACAACAUUUGGAAACGAAUGCUAAUACCGCAUAAAAACUUUAAACACAAGUUUUAAGUUUGAAAGAUGCAAUUGCAUCACUCGAAGAUGAUCCCGCGUUGUAUUAGCUAGUUGGUGAGGUAAAGGCUCACCAAGGCGAUGAUACAUAGCCGACCUGAGAGGGUGAUCGGCCACAUUGGGACUGAGACACGGCCCAAACUCCUACGGGAGGCAGCAGUAGGGAAUCUUCGGCAAUGGACGAAAGUCUGACCGAGCAACGCCGCGUGAGUGAAGAAGGGUGUCGGAUCGUAAAACUCUGUUGGUAGAGAAGAACGUUGGUGAGAGUGGAAAGCUCAUCAAGUGACGGUAACUACCCAGAAAGGGACGGCUAACUACGUG